GCCUAAAGCGUCCGUAGCCGGCUCUGUAAGUUUUCGGUUAAAUCCAUAUGCUCAACAUAUGGGCCGCCGGGAAUACUGCAUAGCUAGGGAGUGGGAGAGGUAGACGGUACUCCGUAGGAAGGGGUAAAAUCCUUUGAUCUAUGGAUGACCACCUGUGGCGAAGGCGGUCUACCAGAACACGUUCGACGGUGAGGGAUGAAAGCUGGGGGAGCAAACCGGAUUAGAUACCCGGGUAGUCCCAGCUGUAAACUAUGCAAACUCAGUGAUGCAUUGGCUUGUGGCCAGUGCAGUGCCGCAGAGAAGUCGUUAAGUUUGCCGCCUGGGAAGUACGUACGCAAGUAUGAAACUUAAAGGAAUUGGCGGGGGAGCACCACAAGGGGUGAAGCCUGCGGUUCAAUUGGAGUCAACGCCAGAAAUCUUACCCGGAGAGACAGCAGGAUGAAGGUCAAGCUGAAGACUUUACCAGACAAGCUGAGAAGUGGUGCAUGGCCGUCGCCAGCUCGUGCCGUGAGGUGUCCUGUUAAGUCAGGUAACGAGCGAGAUCCUUGCCUCUAGUUGCCACCAUUACUCUCAGGAGUAGUGGGGCGAAUUAGCGGGACUGCCGUAGUUAAAUACGGAGGAAGGAGAGGGCCACGGCAGGUCAGUAUGCCCC
This 652-nucleotide ribosomal RNA is filed under the name uncultured archaeon. RNAcentral describes it as "bacterial SSU rRNA". It matches the Rfam family "Archaeal small subunit ribosomal RNA", at positions 508 to 1157 of the family's 1478-position model. The record is from RNAcentral.